AGAGUUUGAUCCUGGCUCAGGAUGAACGCUGGCGACGUGGAUAAGGCAUGCAAGUCGAACGGUUGUAGCAAUACAACAGUGGCGAACGGGUUAGUAACACGUAGGUAUCAACCCUUUACUCGGGCAUAACCUGGAGAAAUCUAGGCUAAUUCCCGAUAGUCCGGAAACGGUAAAGAUUUUUCGGUAAAGGAUGAGUCUGCGUCCUAUCAGCUAGUUGGUGAGGUAAUGGCCCACCAAGGCAAUGGCGGGUAGGCGGAGUGAGAGCUUGACCGCCAACAAUGGCACUGGAACAUGGGCCAUACUCCUACGGGAGGCAGCAGUCGAGAAUAUUUGACAAUGGGCGAAAGCCUGAUCAAGCGACGUCGCGUGUGGGAUUAAAAUCUUCGGAUUGUAAACCACUUUUCUAGGGGAAGAACUUUGACUGUACCCUAGGAAUAAGGGGUGACUAAACUCGUGCCAGCAGUAGCGGUAAUACGAGUGCCCCAAGCGUUAUCCGGAUUUAUUGGGCGUAAAGGGUCUGUAGGUGGUUUGUUAAGUUUCUCGUUAAAGCUCCAGGGCUUAACCUUGGAAAAGCGGGAAAAACUGGCAAACUAGAGGAUGUUAGAGGCUGAUGGAACACUUGGUGAAGGGGUGGAAUCCGUUGAUAUCAAGUGGAACACCGAAAGCGAAGGCAAUCAGCUGGGACAGUCCUGACACUGAAAGACGAAAGCGUGGGGAGAGAAAAGGAUUAGAUACCCUUGUAUUCCACGCCUUAAACGAUGAAUACUGGCUAUUGCAAGUGUCGACCCUUGCAGUGGCGAAGCUAACGCGUUAAGUAUUCCGCCUGGGAAGUACGGCCGCAAGGCUAAAACUCAAAUGAAUUGACGG
This 867-nucleotide ribosomal RNA is filed under the name uncultured bacterium. RNAcentral describes it as "bacterial SSU rRNA". It matches the Rfam family "Bacterial small subunit ribosomal RNA", at positions 8 to 916 of the family's 1533-position model. The record is from RNAcentral.